RNAcentral lists this ribosomal RNA (255 nucleotides) under uncultured bacterium. RNAcentral describes it as "partial 16S ribosomal RNA". It matches the Rfam family "Bacterial small subunit ribosomal RNA", at positions 99 to 354 of the family's 1533-position model. The record is from RNAcentral.
CGGACGGGUGAGUAACGCGUGGGUAACCUGCCUCACACAGGGGGAUAACAGUUGGAAACGACCGCUAAUACCGCAUAAGCCAACAGGGGCGCAUGCUCUGGUUGGAAAAGAUUUAUCGGUGUGAGAUGGACCCGCGUCUGAUUAGCCAGUUGGCAGGGUAGCGGCCUACCAAAGCGACGAUCAGUAGCCGGCCUGAGAGGGUGAACGGCCACAUUGGGACUGAGACACGGCCCAAACUCCUACGGAAGGCAGCAG